UACGUAGGGUCCGAGCGUUGUCCGGAAUUACUGGGCGUAAAGAGCUCGUAGGUGGUUUGUCGCGUUGUUCGUGAAAACUCACAGCUCAACUGUGGGCGUGCGGGCGAUACGGGCAGACUGGAGUACUGCAGGGGAGACUGGAAUUCCUGGUGUAGCGGUGGAAUGCGCAGAUAUCAGGAGGAACACCGGUGGCGAAGGCGGGUCUCUGGGCAGUAACUGACGCUGAGACACGAAGGCUAGGGGAGCAAACGGG
RNAcentral lists this ribosomal RNA (253 nucleotides) under uncultured bacterium. RNAcentral's name for it is "partial 16S ribosomal RNA". It matches the Rfam family "Bacterial small subunit ribosomal RNA", at positions 524 to 776 of the family's 1533-position model. The record is from RNAcentral.